AUGCUCCUCGCUGUUGCUCCGCCUUGCUUCAUCCAAUGCCCCAAGCGUUUCGCCUUUGCUCACCUUGCCACUCCAACUCACAACCCAACCCCUAUCAUCCGUCGUGCCAUCCAAACCCUCNNNNNNNNNNNNNNNNNNNNNNNNNNNNNNNNNNNNNGUGGUGUCACCUGCCUAACCUUCUCCUCCCCUGAGGCGCGCGAGAGCGUCCUCUGCCGUGGGCCUCUGGCGUUCGAGGGCAACACUGUGACCCCCGAACCGGUCGAGCUCGCCGAUCGCUCAAUCGCUGUCUUCUCCGAACUCGUCGAGGUCGAGGUGUCCGAGUUCCCCCAUGAACUUUGGCAUGACGAGGGCAUUUGCUCCGUCCUAAGGUACCUCGGCGAUGUCAUCGCCAUCGACCACUUCUGCCUCGAUGGCGUCGACUACACCUCCGUCCGCGCGCUUGUGCUCGCCCAGGCCGGCAAGCCUUCUCCGGACGGCGUCAUCGUCCAGCUUCCUCCCAUAAAUGAAAUCAAGAUCGCCAAAGUCGCUGAACUGACUCGGUGGGCGCACGGUGUUGACUCAAACCCCUUUGGGUCCUCUGACGGCACGGGGGGCUCGGUCGAGUCGCUCCCGGGGGAGCCACAUGCAGCCUCGCUGCUGGUGCACCUCGGCGUGGAACCAGUCCAUGCACCGGCCCUCGGGGCCACUCCGCUGGCUCCAAUCGUCGCACCCUUCACCUCUGCCUCAGCGGGGCCGGGGCUGCUGGAUGGGCCUGCAUGCGUCAACAUGCUCCCGUCCCAACCUACUACUGACGCCUGCAUCACCAUCUCGCCCUCGCCAAACUCCGCUUUCACUGCUUACGACCCACCUGCCAUUCCAUCCUUGCUAGCUGGUGGGUUCACCUUUGCUGCUAAGGCCUCGUCCUCUGUUCAGGCCAUGCCGGUCUCUGACCUGGAGCCACACGAGUGUGCGAUCCGUCACCAGCACCGCAAGGCCUCUCGCGACCACUCCUUCUCUCGCGACAAAGUGCGCCGCAGCGCCCGCCUCGCCGACAAGGAGCCAAAGUCCUACACCAACAUGACUCUGAAGGCCGUCAAGGCCAAGGCGGCUCCUCUCAACGGUGCGGACGAUGCUCUGGCUCUCGAUGAGGCUAUUGCUGCCACCCGUCUGGAUGACAAUGGCGCUCCUCCUGCCUCUGCUGACGACCUGGCGGCCAUCGCCCUCCUUUGUGGCGCAGAUGAUGCUCAGGCCAAGGAGAUCCUCGACUCGGCCUCCGACUCAGGUGUGGAUGGCGCCCCAUGA
This 1281-nucleotide ribosomal RNA is filed under the name Triticum aestivum (bread wheat). RNAcentral describes it as "partial small subunit ribosomal RNA". Lineage: Eukaryota; Viridiplantae; Streptophyta; Magnoliopsida; Poales; Poaceae. The record is from RNAcentral.